RNAcentral lists this long non-coding RNA (632 nucleotides) under Solanum tuberosum (potato). RNAcentral's name for it is "long non-coding RNA (STUB_LNC006549)". The record is from RNAcentral. Lineage: Eukaryota; Viridiplantae; Streptophyta; Magnoliopsida; Solanales; Solanaceae.
CUCGGACUUCUUAUAGGGCUACAUCUCCUGGUGCCACUUCUCCAAGGAUCGCCUCUCCGAGGGCCGCUUCUCCAAGGGUCAUCUCUUCUAAGGCAGCUUCUCCAAAGGUUAGCCCUCCCAAGGAAGCUUCUCCAAAGGCUACCUCUCCGAGGGCAGCUUCUCCAAAGGCUACCUCUCCCAGGGCAGCUUCUCCAAAGGUUACCUCUCCCAGGGAAGCUUCUCCAAAGGCUGCCUCUGCUAGUGCUCCUUCCCUAAAGGCUCUCUCUCCUAGGGAAGCUUCUCCAAAGGCUACCUCUGCUAGUGCUCCUUCCCCAAAGGCUACUGCUCCUAGGGAGGCUUCUCCAAGGGUCUCUUCUCCUAGAUCUACUUAUCCAGAGCUGAGUAGGAACCAUAAUGAGAUUAGCUAUGCUAACGGACCAGAACCAACUUUGACGCUCCAGCUUUCAGCAACCAAGAUACAGGCAGCCUACAGAAGUUACAUGGUAAGAUUCAAGAUAACUCCUUCAUCAAUGUUUUGCUGAAAAUAGCCUUUAAGAAUACUACUUGAUUUUGUGAGUUGGCCAGAUCUUGAGUGAAAAGUUAUAGGUCAUGUUAUUGCGCACUCAUGAUAUAUUGGUAACAAUUAUGUCAUU